GGUUAAGUCCCGCAACGAGCGCAACCCUUAUCCUUUGUUGCCAGCGGUUAGGCCGGGAACUCAAAGGAGACUGCCAGUGAUAAACUGGAGGAAGGUGGGGAUGACGUCAAGUCAUCAUGGCCCUUACGACCAGGGCUACACACGUGCUACAAUGGCGCAUACAAAGAGAAGCGACCUCGCGAGAGCAAGCGGACCUCAUAAAGUGCGUCGUAGUCCGGAUUGGAGUCUGCAACUCGACUCCAUGAAGUCGGAAUCGCUAGUAAUCGUGGAUCAGAAUGCCACGGUGAAUACGUUCCCGGGCCUUGUACACACCGCCCGUCACACCAUGGGAGUGGGUUGCAAAAGAAGUAGGUAGCUUAACCUUCGGGAGGGCGCUUACCACUUUGUGAUUCAUGACUGGGGUGAAGUCGUAACAAGGUAACCGUAGGGGAACCUGCGGUUGGAUCACCUCCUUA
Molecule: ribosomal RNA, 455 nt
Filed under: Escherichia albertii
Lineage: Bacteria; Pseudomonadati; Pseudomonadota; Gammaproteobacteria; Enterobacterales; Enterobacteriaceae
Description: bacterial SSU rRNA
Rfam family: Bacterial small subunit ribosomal RNA
Source: RNAcentral